This 465-nucleotide ribosomal RNA is filed under the name Vreelandella stevensii. RNAcentral describes it as "partial 16S ribosomal RNA". It matches the Rfam family "Bacterial small subunit ribosomal RNA", at positions 338 to 795 of the family's 1533-position model. Lineage: Bacteria; Pseudomonadati; Pseudomonadota; Gammaproteobacteria; Oceanospirillales; Halomonadaceae. The record is from RNAcentral.
CCUACGGGUGGCAGCAGUGGGGAAUAUUGGACAAUGGGCGAAAGCCUGAUCCAGCCAUGCCGCGUGUGUGAAGAAGGCCUUCGGGUUGUAAAGCACUUUCAGUGGGGAAGAAAGCCUUGGGGCUAAUACCCUCGAGGAAGGACAUCACCCACAGAAGAAGCACCGGCUAACUCCGUGCCAGCAGCCGCGGUAAUACGGAGGGUGCGAGCGUUAAUCGGAAUUACUGGGCGUAAAGCGCGCGUAGGCGGUCUGAUAAGCCGGUUGUGAAAGCCCCGGGCUCAACCUGGGAACGGCAUCCGGAACUGUCAGGCUAGAGUGCAGGAGAGGAAGGUAGAAUUCCUGGUGUAGCGGUGAAAUGCGUAGAGAUCGGGAGGAAUACCAGUGGCGAAGGCGGCCUUCUGGACUGACACUGACGCUGAGGUGCGAAAGCGUGGGUAGCAAACAGGAUUAGAUACCCUUGUAGUC